GGAAUAAGAGGGCAAAUUUAGCGAAAGCUAAAGACGCAAAGCUAUGGGUCUAAGGAUAUCUAAGAAUAUUUAUGAUUGCCAAGUUGCUGAU
RNAcentral lists this non-coding RNA (91 nucleotides) under Orenia metallireducens. RNAcentral describes it as "c-di-GMP-I riboswitch aptamer". It matches the Rfam family "c-di-GMP-I riboswitch aptamer". From Rfam's summary of the family: GEMM was predicted in a large-scale screen for bacterial structured RNA regulatory elements. Genes associated with GEMM are involved in a diverse array of functions, including chemotaxis regulation, signal transduction, secretion and chitin. Lineage: Bacteria; Bacillati; Bacillota; Clostridia; Halanaerobiales; Halobacteroidaceae. RNAcentral also lists the same sequence under 1 other name. The record is from Rfam by way of RNAcentral.